RNAcentral lists this ribosomal RNA (245 nucleotides) under uncultured bacterium. Its description in RNAcentral is "partial 16S ribosomal RNA". It matches the Rfam family "Bacterial small subunit ribosomal RNA", at positions 524 to 768 of the family's 1533-position model. The record is from RNAcentral.
UACGUAGGGGGCAAGCGUUGUCCGGAAUUAUUGGGCGUAAAGGGUGCGUAGGCGGCCUUUCAAGUCGGAUGUGAAAUCCCCGUGCUUAACAUGGGAAUUGCAUUCGAAACUGGAGGGCUUGAGUGUGGAAGAGGUAAGUGGAAUUCCCAGUGUAGCGGUGAAAUGCGUAGAUAUUGGGAGGAACACCAGUGGCGAAGGCGACUUACUGGGCCACAACUGACGCUGAUGCACGAAAGCGUGGGGAG